GCGAUCUUCCUCGCCAGAGCUCUGAAUCCUUGGAGUAUUUCCUCGUGCCAUGCAGAUUCAUCUCAAAUAGAUUCUUUUCAAGUAUCCUCCUAGGAAGAGCUUUGCUGCAAAUGACAUGUUUGGUUUCGAUCUGUUCAGACCAGGCAAAGCUGGAUUGAGGAAAUCAAUCAACAGCAAGCAGAAGUACUAGAUGCCCAACUGACAGUUGAGCAGCUUCAACAACAAUAUCAGUUGCUCAUGGCCCAAAAUGAGAUGUUGAAGUUGGUUGCAGUAUGCUGAGCGGAUUCCUAUUGGGUUGGAAAAGGUGAUUCGAACAGUUUCUUCUGAAAUGGUCAAGCAAUUUUAUAAUAUAUGGUACCAUUUACACAAUAUGGCUGUGGUCGCUGUUGGAGAUUUUACUGAUACACAGGCUUGAAUUGGUCAGAUUCAGAUUUCCCUCUUAAAAUGAUAAAUACUUUUUUAAUUCUCAGCUUUGUGAUAUGUCUUUCUAAGCAGUCCAGUUGUUUUCUUGCAGUGUAGUUGAAUUGAUAAGGACUCACUUUGGGGGAAAAGUUUCAAUCUCCACCCCGCCACUUAUACCAGAAUUUCCUGUUCCAUCUCAUGGUGAACCACGCUUUUCAUGUUUGGUUGAAUCUGAAGCUGGUGGGGUACAAAUUGAAAGAUCCAUUGAUUUAAGAUCCUACUGACUAUUUGUUCAAGCUCUUGCGUAUUGGAGAUUCUGGUGUUGGCAACUCACGUCUUCUUUUGAGAUUUGUGGUAAGAUAGGAUCCACAGCAAAAUGGGUGAAGGUUAGUUUCUGCAACUAACAUAAUCUGAAAACCUCCCCUUGUCUACUUGCAUGGUACUUUCAGCAGUGUGUGCCUUUAGAAGCACAGCUUGUAACCAGUUUGGCUGCCUGAUUGGUAGUUCCAAAUGCAAGAUCAUGCAUCUGGAGAAUGCUGUGCCCCCAAGUUGGUGAGUUGGCCAAAAAUGUUUCAAAAAUGAUUGAUUCUCAUUUUGCAGAGAAGAUUGAUAUGUCAGAAGUGCAGGUAAUUAACCAUCUCAUAAUGGGAGGAUUGCCACCUCAUGUUGGUUUGCACAAGUUCUUCAAUUCAUGUGCAUGAAAUUUCUAUGUAAUUCUGCAGGAUAAGUUCUUAGUGGUGAUUACAAAAGCAUUGAUUCCAUAAGUACAUGGUCUAUAAACUAAAUUUGAUACUGAAAUG
This is a long non-coding RNA of Magnolia sinica, 1202 nucleotides long. RefSeq lists it as uncharacterized. The record is from RefSeq and is a predicted model, not a curated record. Lineage: Eukaryota; Viridiplantae; Streptophyta; Magnoliopsida; Magnoliales; Magnoliaceae. The transcript is spliced from 8 exons.